AACGAACGCUGGCGGCGUGCUUAACACAUGCACGUCGAACGAUGAACCCGGAGCUUGCUCCGGUGGAUUAGUGGCGAACGGGUGAGUAACACGUGAGUAACCUGCCCUUGACUCUGGGAUAACUCCGGGAAACUGUAGCUAAUACCGGAUACGACCCUCGGCGGCAGCCCCAGGGGGGUGAAAGAAUUUCGGUCAAGGAUGGACUCGCGGCCUAUCAGCUAGUUGGUGAGGUAACGGCUCACCAAGGCGACGACGGGUACGCCGGCCUGUGAGGGUGACCGGCCACACUGGGACUGAGACACGGCCCAGACUCCUACGGGAGGCAGCAGUGGGGAAUAUUGCACAAUGGGCGCAAGCCUGAUGCAGCAACGCCGCGUGAGGGAUGACGGCCUUCGGGUUGUAAACCUCUUUUAGUAGGGAAGAAGCGAAAGUGACGGUACCUGCAGAAGAAGCACCGGCCAACUACGUGCCAGCAGCCGCGGUAA
Molecule: ribosomal RNA, 485 nt
Filed under: uncultured bacterium
Lineage: Bacteria
Description: partial 16S ribosomal RNA
Rfam family: Bacterial small subunit ribosomal RNA
Source: RNAcentral